RNAcentral lists this ribosomal RNA (390 nucleotides) under uncultured bacterium. RNAcentral describes it as "bacterial SSU rRNA". It matches the Rfam family "Bacterial small subunit ribosomal RNA", at positions 30 to 417 of the family's 1533-position model. The record is from RNAcentral.
AUUGAACGCUGGCGGCAUGCCUUACACAUGCAAGUCGAACGGCAGCACGGGAGCUUGCUCCUGGUGGCGAGUGGCGAACGGGUGAGGUAAUAUAUCGGAACGUACCCUAGAGUGGGGGAUAACGCAGCGAAAGUUGCGCUAAUACCGCAUACGAUCUACGGAUGGAAAGUGGGGGAUCGCAAGACCUCAUGCUCAUGGAGCGGCCGAUAUCUGAUUAGCUAGUUGGUGGGUAAAGGCCUACCAAGGCAUCGAUCAGUAGCUGGUCUGAGAGGACGACCAGCCACACUGGAACUGAGACACGGUCCAGACUCCUACGGGAGGCAGCAGUGGGGAAUUUUGGACAAUGGGCGCAAGCCUGAUCCAGCAAUGCCGCGUGCAGGAUGAAGGCCU